This 610-nucleotide long non-coding RNA is filed under the name Hordeum vulgare. Its description in RNAcentral is "long non-coding RNA (HVUL_LNC005014)". The record is from RNAcentral. Lineage: Eukaryota; Viridiplantae; Streptophyta; Magnoliopsida; Poales; Poaceae.
UUUUUAUAAAUUUGUGAAUAAUUUUCAAAAAACAUGAUUAUUUUUUGUAAUAAAAAUGAAAAAGCAAAAGAAACGGAAAAGGAGAGAUAAAAUAUCUAUAAAAAACAGAAAACGAAAAACUUAUAAAAAACGGAAAAGUUACAAAAAACAAAAGAAACGAAAAAAAAAGGUUCAGCAAAACCAGAAAAGGCAAGCCACGAACCACCUAGAAAGUUCCCAAAACCAGGAUGGCUGAAGCGCUGGAUGGGCUGGCCCAGAUCAUCCCUGGCUCUACAACUUGAUGCAAUGUGCGUCAUAAUUUUCCCUGUUCUUCUUCUACCUUCUGUACGGUAGUUGAUCUGAAUGAUCUCCUGGUAUACUUCACUGAGCCUGUCUCAGUCAUGGAAUGCUGGUCUCCACUGCCUGAAGCAACGCCCAUGAAGAAUGCUUAAUACUUUUUCCCACCUCUCUUGUCUUGCUACCUUGGUCUCCAUGCAACGCUAUUAAUGGUCGUUUUUUCUUUAGAAGAAAAUGUUGUUUUUCGAAGUUAGAUUGCUGUCUGCGUGCAGUCAUAAACUCUAAUGUAGUUCUAGUUUUUUAUUUCCAGUACUUUAUUUGCUUUCACUUUGAC